AGAGAAUCGCUUGAGCCCAGGAGGCGAAGGUUGCAGUGAGCCGAGAUUGCGCCAUUGCACUCCAGCCUGGGGGACAGAG
This 79-nucleotide small nuclear RNA is filed under the name Homo sapiens (human). RNAcentral describes it as "partial ncRNA". The record is from RNAcentral. Lineage: Eukaryota; Metazoa; Chordata; Mammalia; Primates; Hominidae.